GAAAAACACUUGUACAAACAGCAUUAGCUCCUUGGCUAGUGCUACCUGCACGCGCGCGGAUUGCGCGUGGCAAAAUGGCCGCGGUUAAAAGGAAAUAAACAUUUGGUGGAAACUGGUAAUGUCGCAUGUGACGAGGACGACCCGAGCGGAUGAGCAAACUGUGAUCUAGCUAGUUUGUUCGCCCCGGCUCGUGUCGUUUUGGAUCACAGUAUCAGCGUGGCGAAAGGCUCCCGAGGACACGUCUCUAUGUGUGAUUGGUUCCAUCACAUCACAUUUAUAGAUUACAGAGUUACAUAAAGACUGACUCGUGAACGAUCAAGGUCGAGACUGGCCACUAUGAACUCUGUACUGCUGAGAGUUCAGACCGUGCCGCGACCAACACGUGCACAGUCUGACAUCCCCUGCCCAGCCACGAGCGAUCGUUCUCCACAAGUAGUCUUCGGUGGUGUCGUGACGUCAUCCCCUGACCAGCGGCACAAAUGAAAUACACAGCGAUAAAUUAUAUUUUAUUACGCUCGACUCGAACUCGGCAGGAGUUCGUUAGAUUUAAUUACAAUAAUUGCUCUCUGACGUAACAUAGGAUUACAGGCUGGACGACAGGCGGAAUGAGAGGAGCGGAGGAAAACAACAUAUACGUAUGUAACUAGCGAGGAAAAUAAUAAUAAUAGUAAUCAUCAUAUAUAUAUAUUAUAUUUUGGACAGUGUCUGGUGCUUAUAUUAUAUUAUAUAAUAUUUUGCCAUCAAUUUAAUUUAAUAUCUACACAUUUGUUCAAUGAUUGUAUAAGAAUAUACGAUUCAUUUAAAAGGAAUUCUUUUAUUAUAUAUCACUCAUGUAACAAGCUACGUUCGGAUCCUCACGUCCUAACAUAUCCAUAUAACUAUGUUUAAUAUCAUUUAUAGUUAGCUUUACGUGGAGACCGUUUCCAGACAUCGCCCACAACCCUAGAGGAAUAAAACACCUUAAUACGUCGUAACAUUAACCGCAGCCGGCUGCAGGAGCUCCUGGAUCCGGCUGUAUAGGAUAUAGUCUGAUACAUGUAUGAAAAUAUUAACCGAAGCCGAUGUCAUCGUGAAGAGCUGUUACUGAACGAGCAAAGCUGUCACUGUCAAAUGAUAUGCAACAGCUCGUCUCGUAACCGCAAACUGCUCGCCCGCGGUUACUCGUGCGAUGUUCAGAGACAGUCUACGAGUCAGAGGUGUCGGAGGGUACGUUCCUUGUAACAUGUCUGUACGAGGUUUGCUUCCGUGUUUGUGUACCCGAGGCUCGCGCCUCACGUCAGUGUUGCCAGUCAAUAUCAAUAUGAUGUAAUUAAUUAAUUCUAGUGAUUGUAUAUAUCUAAGCGAUAACGGUUUUUUGCUAUUUUCGUCCUAUUAAAUAUAUUGGCAACAUUAUUUUAUUCGCAUCAAACAUGAAUGGCGUCGCCGUUUCUAUUCUCUGUCCGUACAUCAGUUUUUAAACUAAACAAUUCACCUUAGUAACUACAGUGAAUAUACUUAAAGCGGGCUCUCAACCGGUGCUUAGAGAUAUCGUUGUGGAGAUCCGUCCCAACACUAGCACUAACAUUAUCUAUAUAUUUACCUCCUAACAUCACGCCGCCGUGAAGCGGUCUGGUAAUCUCGCGGCCACACAAUGACCGCGACCGACGCAGCGUGUCCAAUUAAUUUUAAUUAUUAAUAUUAGUUCCCGCAGCUACUUCUCUGCGCCGCGUCUCUCUUCAACUUCACAUUUUGCGACAGAUUCACUUUAAGUCAGCACAAGUAUAUUUCUUCUACUCGAGUAGACAUUUUUCCAAGUCAUUCGUUGCAGGCGCCCCGUGCUCCCAUCACACAGAACUUUAUUCCGUUUAAUGCUAUAUAUAAUCAUAAAUAUAUAUCUAUAUAUUCCCUACAUAUAUUUCGGGCUGCACGCUGUGUGCUGCGGCUUAUUUUGCAGAUUUUUAUUUAAUUUUUCUAUCUACCUACCAUAUUUACACGACCCCUACCCCCUAGCACCCCAUCCCCAAAAAUCUUAAGGCUACUAUAUCUAGUAUUCAACAUAUUCCAUAAAAUAUAUUGGAUCAGCACUUCCGUGAUCAUCAUCUGUAACAUCGUCUCCAUCUAGCCGUCGGGUAACCGAUGGCUACUAUAAUAACAAGAUUUGCACAAAAAAAUCACAUAGCGGACACGACUUCGUCGGCUCCUCAGAACCGUUCAAAUAAUAGUGACCCGCGGAAGUCACGAUAUAGUUCAGUACGAUAUAGUUCAUCUUUAGUGAGGAAAACAGGCAUUGAGUGUAGCAUCGCUUCCUCAGGGCUCGCAGCGGCACGCGUCCGGCACACAGGAGGGCGCCGCGGGGGGCGGGGGCAGCGCGGGGGCGCCGCAUCACCGGGACGGACACGAGCUGGACCCGCUCAGGCACGAGAAGCCACUGGUGGCGGACUGCAGGCUCGACAUGGACCCGCUGGGGACACGCCACACGAGAAUGAAACACGACUACAACAAACACUCCAAGUAAAGAUGCACAAGUGCUGCUGUGGAUGUAUCACCGGUAGUGGUGGCUGGCGAGCGUCUCGUGAAAGUACACCAGCUGCGCCCCGUCCGGCCCCCGGGCGCCCUCGCACCGCCAUUGGAGGACGUAGCUGCCUCGCGAUGACAUCACGUGGGAACCCUGGAUGAAGGGGUGGGGGGGAAGUGUUAUUAAGUUCCACCACAUAUAUGGAGGUAAUGUUGGCAGGUUCAGGUGGUACCUGUAUGCUCUCUCCGUCGUGACACAGCAGCGACGUCUCCACGCGGUGGUAGUGUUCACCCUCGCGACCAGCACCCUCCAGGACAGAGCGGCUCUCGUCGCCGGCUGAGGACGGCCACGGGACAUUUGAGAAUAACACAUCAUAACAUUCUAAUAAUCGUUUGGAAACAUAUUAAUAUUAAUGGUUGUCGUCUAUAUCGCUUUGUAUCUUCUGUAAAAUUUUGACAGCAGACGAAAUGUUUGCAGCCGUUUAAUUCACUAAAUUAUGUAACUGUUCUGGGUUAUAUUUCCAGCUGAAGGUGUGUUGUGUAAGGUAUGUGUGUCGUGUGUGUGAAUCUCACCGGCGGGCUGCUCCGGAGGCUGCAGCUCCUUGGUGCUCCUGAACACGCUGAAGUACACUUCGUGCCGUAACACGUCGAAGUC
Molecule: long non-coding RNA, 3148 nt
Organism: Danaus plexippus (monarch butterfly)
Lineage: Eukaryota; Metazoa; Arthropoda; Insecta; Lepidoptera; Nymphalidae
Exons: 3
Source: RefSeq, a predicted model, not a curated record